RNAcentral lists this ribosomal RNA (253 nucleotides) under uncultured microorganism. RNAcentral describes it as "partial 16S ribosomal RNA". It matches the Rfam family "Bacterial small subunit ribosomal RNA", at positions 524 to 776 of the family's 1533-position model. The record is from RNAcentral.
UACGUAGGGUGCGAGCGUUAAUCGGAUUUACUGGGCGUAAAGCGUGCGCAGGCGGCCCGUUAAGACAGGUGUGAAAUCCCUGGGCUCAACCUAGGAACUGCGAUUGAGACUGGCGGGCUUGAGUACGGUAGAGGGGGGUGGAAUUCCCGGUGUAGCGGUGAAAUGCGUAGAGAUCAGGAGGAACACCGAUGGCGAAGGCAGCCCACUGGGUCUGUACUGACGCUCAGGCACGAAAGCGUGGGGAGCAAACAGG